CGUGCGGGCUGGGCGAGGACUCGGCCGCCGCCGCUGCUGGCCGAAGGACGGGGAGGCUGUAACAGAGCAUCCUUCCGUCUGCCUGGUCAGUGGCGGCGACCACCCCUCCUGUCUGUCCCCGUCACGCAGCCAGAGUGUGAAGCCCGCCUCUCAGGGCUGCUUCCGACCCUAGAAUCCGCUCCCGCCCGGACAGCGAGCCCCCUGCCCCUUACUCCGGACUGUGCGAGGCGGAGAGGGAGAGGAACCCUGCAGCCACCCUGGAUGCCAAAGGAGGAUGUUGGCCCUUCCUUCAGGAAACGUGGGGGAAGGGGAUUUGGAUGUCAGGGCGACGAUGUAACCAUGUGACGGUUACACUGUAGCGAUAGAUGCGAGUUAGCUUCCAAAGUGGCUUUUUUUUUUUUUUUUUAAUGUGGCUGAAAGCCUGGAGGUCUGUGUUCUGGCCCAGGCCGUUAGGUCCCUGCCCCUUCUGUUAAGUCCUAACACCUCGGCGGUCCGUCUUUCUCCCUCUCUGAAGUGUGUGCUUUGAGCGGAAGCGUGGCCUCUCAGAACAACAAGGCAGCACACGGCUGCUUUCACAUGGAACAAAUGAAAACAGUCUGCAUCUUCAAAGUGUGGGGGAGCGUGGAAACGGAAGUCUGCGAAGGAGCGUGAGGGCCGGAGGUUUGGAAGUGGCUAGGUCUUGAAGGAAGGGCACGAAGCCUUCAGGAGGGCUUGGCAAGGAAGGGGUGUUUCCUAGGCAGAGGGACCAAGAAACGCAGGCUACGGAGGCAUGUGAGUGUUCCCGGAGUAUUCGUUUUGAAUAACCGAAGUUUGGAGCUAGAGAGAGAGCUGUAGCAGCCGUCUGAAGAUCGUGCACAGAAGGUAGGCUUACCGAUGCUGAGCAAUGUUCCUGGAGGCAGAUGAGACCACCAUAAGGAAGGAAUAAGGAGAUUUAUUUGAGGUUCUUUUUUUUUCCUUGUGGGGAGGUUCAUUUUCAAGUUUUUGAAUAAGGAACUAGAAUAGUUAUUAAAAAUAAAUAAGACUAAAAACUGACAACUCUCCAGAGGGUGGGUGUGAAGGUGUCUAGAAGUAGCUAACACGGUGAUUUAUUUAUCUGGCCUUGGUUGUGUGGCGGCACUCGACAUAGGAAUACAGGUAAAACGAGCUGUGGUAGGGGACCGGUACGUUUUCUUUGGGUGCAUUCAGUUUGCAGUGUGAAACAGACUUGGAAGGAGAGACGCUCCGAUGAUACUUGAAUUGUCUAGAGCGACUUCAGUCCAUCUCAGUGGAAGAUAAGGACUACAGAACAAUUCAACCGUUCCUGCAUACUUCUCUGUAUCAGGCUCUACCCUAAGCUCCAGGGACCCUGCUCUCCCAGAAUUCCGAGUAAGUGGGAAAGGCAGUCAUUAAAAAUUGACAAACACGGGAUAAAUGUACUUGAUGAUAUCAGACUGUAGUUAGUUGUUCCUGUUUUUUUUUCUUAUUGCAGUUCAUCUCAUAACUCUGCUGACUACAUAGAAAUUCACAAUCUGUUAAAAUCACCCUGUGUUUCCCAGUAUUUACAUUUAAAACUAUGGGGCAACUUUCCUCAUUUAGCUGGAUUUUAAGUUGAUACCUUAAAUUGGGUAUCAAAAUAUGUAUGCUUCUAUAGAAAAUCUUAAGGAUAACUGUGACUCAGUCCCCAGCAACAAUUUUUGACUAAUUAAUAAUAAGUAUUGUGCUAUACAAAUCUUGCUUGAUGAGUCAAAGCUUAGCAAUGGUUCUUUUAUUUUUUUCUUACAUGUAUGCCUGUGCCUACAUAUUUGAAUACUGUUUAAAAACUGAAACUAUGCUCAGUGAGGAAUGUAAAUGAACAUUUCCCCAUUACACACUGAUCUUAAUGUUUUUAAGUCACUUACUGAAACCUUGCUACCUUUUAUAGGACUGCUUUGUUCUUAUUCCCUUGUUCAUUGGGUUACAAGGAUGUAGGGCACUUUCGUGGUUGCAAGUGCACCAGAGGCAGGAAACGUGUGCCAAUCACUCCUCUCUGCCUGUGUUCCUCCUUGGCUACCUGUGGAUUUGGACUCUCAACCUGUAUUCCUCAUGGUAUAUGAUUUGGGUGAGCAAUCCCCCUCUAGACCCUUUGAUUUAACUUUCUUCUCUCUCCAGUCACUUAGUUUCCCUUGUUUCAUUCACAACUUCACAUUCCUAAUUACUACUCCAUUCCCUAAGCACACUGACCAGCUUACCUACCUUGAUUUUAACACUGCAAUUAGUAAUUGGGGGUUCCAUCAAAGAAGCUAUAAUCUACUUUCCGUGCGUAGGCUGUCUAAUUGGUGGUUAGGUUAAUAGCCAUGUUUUAGAGGUUGUCUCUUUAAUUGAAAUUGGCAUAGCUGUAACAUGAAGAAAAAAAAAACUCUAGUUCUCUUCCAUCAAAUGCCAGUCUAUCCAUUCUGACUUCCCAGUUUCGAAAGUAUGUCCCACUUCAGGAAGCAUCAUGUUUGGAAGCCUAAAUUUUUUAAAAUGCACAAUUGGAGUUAUUUGUCUGACAAAAAAAAAAAAACCUUUUUCAAAUAUAGGAGAUCCUCCAAAAAUUCCAUUGCCCUUGAAAUUAAGUAUGAUUGUUUUACUGCCCUACAAGGAAGGUUUGUGUUGCUGAAAAUGCAGUGUGGUUAAUGUGCAUUUGGCUUUGAGUUAGUUUCACUACUGAGCUGUCUCUCCUGCCGUUUUGGAACUGUUCUUAAUGCUUUGACAUCAUUAAGUGUCAGCUAUGGAUUGUGCAUUGUGUGAAGUGUUGAGUGAAAUCUCUGGGGAACAGAGAUCUUGACUUAUAAUUGAAUUAUACCUUCAGCAGGUGACCAACUGAGCUCCAUCUACAUGAAAUACAAUACUGAUUUCUGCUACUAUGAGACUGCUAUUGAUAUAUAUUAAUAGAUAUUUUAUGACAUCAGCAUCUCUGCGUGGUGAUGGUUGAAGGUCCGAAGUUCCGUCAAGCGACCCAGGAGACAGGCAAAAUGCUGAGGGUUCUCGGGCUGGUAAAUCUUGCACAGCUUCUGCAGUACCUCAAGCAGCGGCUCCUGAAGCCUCUCCACCGCCUCCCUAUCCUUUAUGUAUUGCCUGUCUGUUUGAAGGUUUGAAAUAGCAUAGCAAGGUAAGACGUGAAAGACACCAAUUUGACAUAAUUAUGGCAAUGUCUAAGCUUUUAAAACUGCUUAUACAUGUUGUACGCUUAAAUGUGCAAAAUUUUCAAUGUAGUAAAGGUACAUGCACGUACGCACAUAUGCAUACAUACAUGCAUGUACAUACAAUGGACUUAUAUGUAAACCAAGAUAUGGAGCAUCAAAUGUUCCCAGAAGUUCCCCUAAACCCCCUUCCUAAUCAUUGUUCUUGAAGGAAAUCCACAUGACAGAUGUAAACAUUCUGUCUCUGGGGACAACCCCAGACUUCCCGGGCCAUGGGGAUCAACAUGUGUAAAUCUAAGAGGCUCUGCCAAGCAGAAUUUUUUUCCACUCACAAUUAUUAGUGUCCAAAGAGUAGCAACUAGCACCUGUCUAAUUAUCACAGAUGAAAAUAAUUUAAGGCUAGCAUAAUAUGUUUUUACAAACUAUGCACACACUAUUAUUUGCACCCAAAUUGUUAAAGUUAGUUUUGAAAAUACAUUUUAUACAGGGAGAUAUUUAUUUCUACAUUUUUUUAAAACAAGAAAAUUGGAAGCAUACAACUGUACAGACGAAGGGAUGAUUAAGUAUGUCUUUGUAGAGUUAUGAAAUGGAGCAUAAUGCAUACCUGUUACCAAAAGUCUUGUAAAGGAUGUGAUCUUUACUAUAUUACAAUGUGUAUGAUUUCUUUGCUGUCCCUGCUCAAGUGUCAGUCUCACCCCAGGGAGACUCUUCCCUAACAACUUAAUGAGCAUGCCAUCCAUUCUUUUCUCACCUCCUUCCCAAAUAUUCUCAUUGCUAUAAUAUUUGUGAGAUGAAUUCUCACUUUGUAGCCCAGGCUAGGCUCAAGUUUGUACUCCUCCUCCAUCAGCUCUCAGACCUGGAAAUUACAGGUUUGGGUCACUGUGUCUGUCUAUUAUUAUUAUGUAUUUUGUAGAAUUUUCCACUUGCUGGAAAAAAUGGGUCGUUUUCCUCAUUGUUUGAGAGCACUAGUCUCAUAGAAGUGGCAUCUAACUUACUCCUAAAGUCUAGAGCCAUAUUCACUGUGUAGGAGGUGUUCAAUAGGCAGUUACUGACACUGUGAUGGUUAUAGUCAAAAAUACUGCAAAGUGUAUGAAAUAUUAAUAAUAUUCUAUUUGAGUGGUAGGAUUAUGGACCAUUUUACUUCAUACGUCUCUGUGUUUUCUUUAAUUCACAUUGUUAUGACAUUGCCGAGAAGGAGGCGAGCAGUAUAAAAACCCAAAUGUAAUAGUAAAAUUACCUGGAGAGAGGAUGACGAUGCCCGUCAGCAGAGCGUACUCUUCCUGAGUCAUUUUCAGCUCCCCAAUACUUUUAUAAAAACUGAACAUCGGAGUUAUGUACUCAGCAGAGAUGCCUGUGUGGGAGUCGAAAAACACAGUUACAACACAAGGCUUUUAAUUUUAGUUAGUACUUGUGCGGUGAGUGUGUGUGUGUGUGUGUGUGGUGAGUGUGUGUGUGUGGUAAGUGUGUGUGUGGUGAGUGAGUGUGUGUGUGUGAGUGGUGAGUGUGUGUGAGUGUGGGGGGUGCGCGUGCGUGCACAUGCACACACGUUUGCAAGGUGAGGUCAGGGCACGUCUUUGUGGAGCUGGUCCUCUCCUUCCCUUGGAUUCUAGUGACAAAAUGCAUGUCACCAGGCUUUGUAGCAAGCACCUUCACCUUCAGAGUCAUCUCACCAACCCAACGAAAAUCAUGAGUAGCUUCAAAGUGCAAAGCUGGAAACACACACAACCACAUUUACCCCCAAGCCACACACAUUCAUGCAAUGAUAGUCCAUUAUACAUCUCAGCCAAAGACGGAGCGUGGAAGGGAGAUCAACGAGCAAAACCUUCAAGGACAGCCUCAUGACUGAUGCACUUGUCUUUGAAUUCAGUACUGUCUUUGGCCAAGUGUGCAACAAUAAAUGAUAAUGCUCUUGGACUAGAAAUAAUUCCUAGAAUGGCACCAUUUUCUCAGACAGAGAGCAAUCUUAACAAUGAACACAGCAGAGUUGUGUUUCAAUUCAGACGAAUAAGCAAUUACACUGAAUAAGUUGAUCAGAGUUGAAUGGGUUUGGACCUACCUGACAAACCAUUUCCUACCAUGCACUAAUCAGUAUGGGGCCACUCUUUACAAACUCAGGACAUCAAAUACGACGAAUACCAGGUGGGGACCAAGCCUCCCAACUUUCUCCAAACCCAGUCCCUUCCUGAUGUCUCCGUUCUCGGUAAUGACUGUUCUUGCCACACACGUGUCUGCGCUGGCAGCUGAGAUUUCUGGUGUGUGACCUGCGAUCUAACCACUCCUCCUCCCUCCCUGUUGCCCUGCCUCUAGUUUCAACCACCAUCUCUCAUUAUCUGGAGCACAAGGAUCGCUUCCUCAUUCCUGCCUUGUUUACUCUUCUGCAAUCCACAUACCAGAGUAAUCCCCUCUGAACUUCAAAUCACACAUGUUCUCCUCACUUCUUACACAGCUUCAAAGCCUUCCUAUGGCUCCUGCAGUUCGUGUACCUUUCUUUUAAAUGGGACCUCUGCCCCUCUGGAGUCUGUAUUCACCGAAUCCUCGCUGUGCACUGCGCUCUGGGAGCCACAGAAUUCUGGCUGAACCAAAUGAGGAUACAGUUGGAUUCCCGAUGCUCAAGAUUUCAACUCUCAACCGAUGGUACACCUUAUAGGAAGUCAGUUUGUCAGCAAGCCAAAUCCUCACCUUAAGAAGAGUUUGAAGUCUCUUCAGAACUGAGCCUUGGGCCUUUCCCAGCCACUCAACACAGUGCAAUCCUCUCCCCACAACCCUGCACCUUUGUUCCGACUCCAGUGGGUUCUCUCAACAGCAGAGUCUUUGUUUAGCAAGAGGGUGAUUACAUCGCAUGGAAGAGGGCCCUUCCCCAGCUGCUGCAGAACCGAGUUGAAUGCCCAACACCAAACAAGAUAGAGCUUCGAAGGACUGGGGCUUGAGCCUGGGAAUGCUGCUCACUGGUUCCAGCACAGGGUUAGAGGUUGUGACUUUGAAAUCUGAGUCCCUGAUAUGGCCUUGAACACAUUAAAACUUUUGAAGCCACAGUUUUGUUAUCUGUGAGGUGUGGAUUGCACAAUGAUAGAUUACAUAAGAUAGACCUGCCUCACAGUAAGACCUGAGUGGUGAGGCAGCCCUGUACCACCAAUUAACUGGGAGGCUGAGGGAGAAAGAGCUGCCUACGCUACAGAGACAGCAACUACGAGACCUGCAAUCCACAGAGACCCACAGUGGUCACAGCGCAGAGUGACUGUGGUGAGCCCAGGCAAGGGCGGUACAUCUGCAACACUACCCUACACCUAAGGCUCAGAGAAGUCACAGGAGCCAGAGGACCAGAGCACCAGCUUGUGACAUGUCUUCUAGAUACAGCAGGGCGCUGCCCCCAUGAAAUCUCAACAACAUGGCUGCCUGCAUGAGAUCCCAUAGAAACCACACCAAUGAACACGCCAGCACAGACGUGGAUGAAGAGUUGUGGCUUCAAAACUUAGCACUCUUAGCUGUAAGUGGAGGUGCAGGCCUCUAAUCCUAGCACUUGAGAGAUUGAGGUAGGAAGAUGCUGAGGCCAGUGGGCAGCCCGAGGCACACAGCACCCUGUAGAAAAUCAAGAAAGGCUGUUUUCACGCCUCUUCCAUGUUCAGCGUCCGUACCCAUCAGAAGAAAUCAGAUCUGCAUGUCCGGCAGGAAGUUUCUUAUUAAAAAUCUCUGCAGAGCGGAGGAACAUGGCUUCAACUGCAGACCCUUUCAGCAAUGCGAUCUGAUCCUCAUGGUCCAAUGUCUGAAACCCUAAGGAGAUAAUCAAAC
This is a long non-coding RNA of Mesocricetus auratus (golden hamster), 6926 nucleotides long. RefSeq lists it as uncharacterized. The transcript has 5 exons. NCBI's taxonomy places the organism in Eukaryota, Metazoa, Chordata, Mammalia, Rodentia, Cricetidae. The record is from RefSeq and is a predicted model, not a curated record.